GGGGAUGUAAAGGUUUCGACGGGGGUGGGUGGAGCAUGGAUAGCGAGCCGGGGGGUCAUCAACCCGUUAGUAAGGUGAAAAGCUUUAAAUAUAAAAGCUAACGAAGACUACGCUUUAGCCGCAUAAGGCUACCCCUGCCUGACUGCCUCCUGCACGGGAGGGUGAGGGGCAAAUUGCAGGAUACUCAGUUGUCAAUUCUCGGAGACGCUGGGGAAUUUCAUCGAGAUCGGGUGUACAGCGGUUGUUUGUGUCUGCUUAAGCCUUAAAUCUAAACAUAAACUGCGCUCGGAGAAGUCUAUGUAACAACGCUUUCGGACAGGAGUUCGAUUCUCCUCAUCUCCACCA
RNAcentral lists this small RNA (345 nucleotides) under Selenomonadaceae. Its description in RNAcentral is "CAMCDL01 sp945637225 Standard tmRNA". It matches the Rfam family "transfer-messenger RNA". From Rfam's summary of the family: Bacterial tmRNA, also known as 10Sa RNA or SsrA, is named for its dual tRNA and mRNA-like properties. The record is from RNAcentral. RNAcentral also lists the same sequence under 3 other names. Lineage: Bacteria; Bacillati; Bacillota; Negativicutes; Selenomonadales.